Long non-coding RNA from Xiphophorus couchianus (Monterrey platyfish), 237 nucleotides. RefSeq lists it as uncharacterized. NCBI's taxonomy places the organism in Eukaryota, Metazoa, Chordata, Actinopteri, Cyprinodontiformes, Poeciliidae. The record is from RefSeq and is a predicted model, not a curated record. The transcript is spliced from 3 exons.
UUUUACUCAAAUUGAAAAAACAAAAGUACUUUUGGGAGUAUUUUUAUUGGCUGUUCUUUUUACUUUAACUUGAGUAAUUUUAUUAUGAAGUAUCUCUGCUCUUACUUGAGUAAAAUUUCUGGAUUUUAAAAUGCAUAAAACUGCAUCCCCGUCCCCACAGCUGCAGCAUGUUUAAUGGCUGCAUGGCUCCGUUUCUUCAGAGUAACUUCUCCCUGCAGAGACCUUUAAAGGUUGACA